UCAUCUCUUUGCUGAUUCCAUCUUCUGGAUAUAGCCUAGAUCAGUAUUACCAUAUAUCAGCGUUUUCCUCAAAUGUGAAUAAGAAUGAGAAGCUUCUAUCAAGGCAUAUAUUGGUGAGCUGAAGUCUUGAGUCCAAAGAUUCAACUUUUUGCUCUCAUCUAUUUUGUGGAAAAAAGAAAUUAUGCUGCCACUGGAGGUUUCGGUGGUCAUCAUUUGAUAGAGCUCAAGUGAGUCUAAGCCGGAAGCCUACUAUGACUAAGAUUAAUUGAUUUGAGGUCAAUUCCUGGUCGCUGUUCCAUGGUUCUGAUCGAUUGGUGAAACUGCCGUGAGAUUGCUGAAUUUCAAGACUUCCAAGUUCAAAAUUCAAAUUAUGUGAAAGAAGUUAAAGUUACAACAAGUGCAUAUCUGGGCUCCCUUCUUUUCUGUGGCCCCGUUUCCCUAACUAUAACCACUAACCAACGCCCGCCGGUGGUCACUCGCCCGCUGUGAAACAAGGAGGAGGGGAGGGCUCUGGUCG
Long non-coding RNA from Daphnia pulicaria, 517 nucleotides. RefSeq lists it as uncharacterized. Lineage: Eukaryota; Metazoa; Arthropoda; Branchiopoda; Diplostraca; Daphniidae. The transcript has 4 exons. The record is from RefSeq and is a predicted model, not a curated record.